GAAAUGCGAUAAGUAAUGUGAAUUGCAGAAUUCAGUGAAUCAUCGAAUCUUUGAACGCACCUUGCGCUCCUUGGUAUUCCGAGGAGCAUGCCUGUUUGAGUGUCAUGGAAUUCUCAACUCUGUUUGCUUUUGUGAAUAGAGCUUGGAUUUGGAGGUUUAUUGCUGGUACUUGUGAUCGGCUCCUCUUGAAUGCAUUAGCUCGAACCUUUGCGGAUCAGCUAUCGGUGUGAUAAUUGUCUACGCCGUUGCAGUGAAGCAUAUCAAUGGGCUCGGCUUCCAAUCGUCCUUUACUGGACAAUGACUUUGACCUUUGACCUCAAAUCAGGUAGGAUUACCCGCUGAACUUAAGC
Molecule: unclassified non-coding RNA, 350 nt
Filed under: plant metagenome
Description: partial contains 5.8S ribosomal RNA, internal transcribed spacer 2, and large subunit ribosomal RNA
Rfam family: 5.8S ribosomal RNA (bases 1-105)
Source: RNAcentral